Molecule: ribosomal RNA, 377 nt
Filed under: uncultured bacterium
Lineage: Bacteria
Description: bacterial SSU rRNA
Rfam family: Bacterial small subunit ribosomal RNA
Source: RNAcentral
UAAUACGGAGGAGGCAAGCGUUAUCCGGAAUUAUUGGGCGUAAAGCGUCCGUAGGUGGCACUUCAAGUCUGCGGUCAAAGACCGGGGCUUAACCCUGGAAAGGCCGUGGAAACUGAAGUGCUAGAGUGCAGUAGGGGUAGAGGGAAUUCCCGGUGUAGCGGUGAAAUGCGUAGAGCUCGGGAAGAACAUCGGUGGCGAAAGCGCUCUACUGGACUGCAACUGACACUGAGGGACGAAAGCUAGGGGAGCGAAUGGGAUUAGAUACCCCAGUAGUCCUAGCCGUAAACGAUGGAUACUAGGUGUGGCUUGUAUCGACCCGAGCCGUGCCGUAGCUAACGCGUUAAGUAUCCCGCCUGGGGAGUACGCACGCAAGUGUG